AUACAACGUAAUUUCAUUAUUAAAUUGGACUUUGAUAUCGCUAGUUUGUGAUGAUGAUAAUAUUUCUCUUAUGCUGCGUUGGCGUAUUUGCAGCAGAUUCAUCAGAUUCGCUAGAAGAUAUCCCAUUUGAGACUGCCCAGGUCAUUCAUCAUAAACAGCGAAUUUGUAUUUUUCGUCCGGGGCAUCCAACUUGUUAUGGAAGUGAAAAGAUACCAGGCGAUCCACAAGAAGUAGCAGAUUUAUAUAAACUGCAAAUAAGAUUUCGAAAUGAUAUUAAAAAGCUAAAACCGGAAAGGCUAAAUAGAAGAGAACACUUGAAAAUUCUUAAAAGAUAAAAUAUUCCGCCAAUUUACUUGUUGUGAUAUUUUUCCAAGUUCUACAAGAAAACCGUUUUUAAAUAAAUUUGCUUUAAACAAUGUCA
Long non-coding RNA from Pieris brassicae (large cabbage white), 421 nucleotides. RefSeq lists it as uncharacterized. The transcript is spliced from 4 exons. The record is from RefSeq and is a predicted model, not a curated record. Lineage: Eukaryota; Metazoa; Arthropoda; Insecta; Lepidoptera; Pieridae.